This 689-nucleotide unclassified non-coding RNA is filed under the name Hevea brasiliensis (rubber tree). Lineage: Eukaryota; Viridiplantae; Streptophyta; Magnoliopsida; Malpighiales; Euphorbiaceae. The record is from RNAcentral.
AAUUAACCAAACGGCGGAGACUGCGGAAACCUUGUGCUGCCCACAGAGCAAGAAGGUCUACACAGAAACUGCGAUAUCUGAAAUGACAAAAAAACCCAUCAUUAACACACCGACAUACGAACAAGAAUGCACAAUGCCUUCUAUAAAGCGAGGGAUAAUUUAGUCAGGAGGAACCCCUGUCCAAAUUAACACGCCAUAAUUGGAAAUUCUUAUAUAUAACGAGAAAUCAUAACAGACUUCUUAAAUCAGCCACCAUCGCAUCGCCACUGCCACCAACCGCCGGUCGUUUAACACUGAUCGCCAUUGGUACCUCAUACCUCCAUCCACAUCUCACAAAUUUUACAUACAAAUUGAAGCUAAUAUAAACUGAAAUUUGCGUAAAUUUUAGUAGUUUUCCUUUUCAUUUUGGCAUGCUUUGGUUGAUUAAUUAGGGUUUAGAAACUAAUUAGGAAAUGGCGAAGCUGAGAUACUCAAGGAUACAAGUGAGGAAAUGGUCGACAUUGUCGAUGGUAUUGAAGAUGCUAUUUAUGCUAACGGUGAUUCUGUUGAUGCUAUUGGGUCUUGGGAUUUUCUCCCUUCCCAUAAGCAGCGACGAUGCCGCUCCCAAUGAUCUCACUACUUCGUACAGACGUCUGGCCGUUGAAAGAGAUGAUAAUGGUUUGGGAAAGAGAGGAGAGCAGUGGACUGAA